This 28-nucleotide non-coding RNA is filed under the name Rattus norvegicus (Norway rat). Lineage: Eukaryota; Metazoa; Chordata; Mammalia; Rodentia; Muridae. The record is from RNAcentral.
UGCCCGUGUCAUCCUCUUUGUUUCCGGA